Molecule: ribosomal RNA, 469 nt
Filed under: uncultured bacterium
Lineage: Bacteria
Description: partial 16S ribosomal RNA
Rfam family: Bacterial small subunit ribosomal RNA
Source: RNAcentral
GACGAACGCUGGCGGCGUGCUUAACACAUGCAAGUCGAACGGAAAGGCCCUGCUUGCAGGGUGCUCGAGUGGCGAACGGGUGAGUAACACGUGGGUGAUCUGCCCCUUACUUUGGGAUAAGCCUGGGAAACUGGGUCUAAUACUGGAUAGGACCAUGCUGUAGGUGGUGUGGUGGAAAGAUUAGUUUCGGUAAGGGAUGAGCUCGCGGCCUAUCAGCUUGUUGGUGGGGUAAUGGCCUACCAAGGCGUCGACGGGUAGUCGGCCUGAGAGGGUGGACGGCCACAUUGGGACUGAGAUACGGCCCAGACUCCUACGGGAGGCAGCAGUGGGGAAUAUUGAACAAUGGGCGCAAGCCUGAUGCAGCGACGCCGCGUGGGGGAUGACGGCCUUCGGGUUGUAAACUCCUUUCAGCCAUGACGAAGCCCUUGUGGUGACGGUAGUGGUAGAAGAAGCACCGGCUAACUACGUG